Molecule: ribosomal RNA, 531 nt
Filed under: uncultured fungus
Lineage: Eukaryota; Fungi
Description: eukaryotic LSU rRNA
Rfam family: 5.8S ribosomal RNA (bases 186-339)
Source: RNAcentral
UAGGUGAACCUGCGGAGGGAUCAUUACAGAGUUCGUGCCCUCACGGGUAGAUCUCCCACCCUGUGUUAUUAUACCUUUGUUGCUUUGGCGGGCCGCCCUCGGCUACCGGCCCCGGCUGGUACGCGCCCGCCAGAGGACCCCAAACUCUGAAUGUUAGUGUCGUCUGAGUACUAUACAAUAGUUAAAACUUUCAACAACGGACCUCUUGGUUCUGGCAUCGAUGAAGAACGCAGCGAAAUGCGAUAAGUAACGUGAAUUGCAGAAUUCAGUGAAUCAUCGAAUCUUUGAACGCACAUUGCGCCCCUUGGUAUUCCGAGGGGCAUGCCUGUUCGAGCGUCAUUUCAACCCUCAAGCACCAGGCCUUGGGUUCUGGGGGCUUUCCCCCGUAUAACCCCGCGCGGGGCUCUUUAAAAAUUCAGGGUGGGCGGGUGCCCGUCGGGGCCCUGAGCCCCAGUAAUCUCUCUCGCUAUAGGGUCCCGGCGGAUGCUGGCCAGUAACCCCAAUUUUCUAUGGUUGACCUCGGAUCAGGUA